GACGAACGCUGGCGGCGUGCUUAACACAUGCAAGUCGAACGGAAAGGCCCUGCUUUUGUGGGGUGCUCGUGUGGCGAACGGGUGAGUAACACGUGAGUAACCUGCCCUUGACUUUGGGAUAACUUCAGGAAACUGGGGCUAAUACCGGAUAGGAGCUCCUGCUGCAUUGUGGGGGUUGGAAAGUUUCGGCGGUUGGGGAUGGACUCGCGGCUUAUCAGCUUGUUGGUGGGGUAGUGGCUUACCAAGGCUUUGACGGGUAGCCGGCCUGAGAGGGUGACCGGCCACAUUGGGACUGAGAUACGGCCCAGACUCCUACGGGAGGCAGCAGUGGGGAAUAUUGCACAAUGGGCGGAAGCCUGAUGCAGCAACGCCGCGUGCGGGAUGACGGCCUUCGGGUUGUAAACCGCUUUCGCCUGUGACGAAGCGUGAGUGACGGUAAUGGGUAAAGAAGCACCGGCUAACUACGUG
RNAcentral lists this ribosomal RNA (468 nucleotides) under uncultured bacterium. Its description in RNAcentral is "partial 16S ribosomal RNA". It matches the Rfam family "Bacterial small subunit ribosomal RNA", at positions 28 to 507 of the family's 1533-position model. The record is from RNAcentral.